RNAcentral lists this ribosomal RNA (482 nucleotides) under uncultured bacterium. Its description in RNAcentral is "partial 16S ribosomal RNA". It matches the Rfam family "Bacterial small subunit ribosomal RNA", at positions 30 to 506 of the family's 1533-position model. The record is from RNAcentral.
UUGCACGCUGGCGGCAGGCCUAACACAUGCAGGUCGAGCGGAUGAAGGGAGCUUGCUCCUGGAUUCAGCGGCGGACGGGUGAGUAAUGCCUAGGAAUCUGCCUGGUAGUGGGGGAUAACGUCCGGAAACGGGCGCUAAUACCGCAUACGUCCUGAGGGAGAAAGUGGGGGAUCUUCGGACCUCACGCUAUCAGAUGAGCCUAGGUCGGAUUAGCUAGUUGGUGGGGUAAAGGCCUACCAAGGCGACGAUCCGUAACUGGUCUGAGAGGAUGAUCAGUCACACUGGAACUGAGACACGGUCCAGACUCCUACGGGAGGCAGCGGUGGGGAAUAUUGGACAAUGGGCGAAAGCCUGAUCCAGCCAUGCCGCGUGUGUGAAGAAGGUCUUCGGAUUGUAAAGCACUUUAAGUUGGGAGGAAGGGCAGUAAGUUAAUACCUUGCUGUUUUGACGUUACCAACAGAAUAAGCACCGGCUAACUUCGU